RNAcentral lists this ribosomal RNA (449 nucleotides) under uncultured bacterium. Its description in RNAcentral is "bacterial SSU rRNA". It matches the Rfam family "Bacterial small subunit ribosomal RNA", at positions 330 to 795 of the family's 1533-position model. The record is from RNAcentral.
ACCAGACUCCUACGGGAGGCAGCAGUGGGGAAUAUUGCACAAUGGGGGAAACCCUGAUGCAGCGACGCCGCGUGAGUGAAGAAGUAUUUCGGUAUGUAAAGCUCUAUCAGCAGGAACGAGACAAGACGGUACCUGACUAAGAAGCCCCGGCUAACUACGUGCCAGCAGCCGCGGUAAUACGUAGGGGGCAAGCGUUAUCCGGAAUCACUGGGUGUAAAGGGAGCGUAGACGGCUGUGCAAGCCUGAAGUGAAAGGCGGGGGCCCAACCCCUGGACUGCUUUGGGAACUGUACGGCUGGAGUGCAGGAGAGGUAAGUGGAAUUCCUAGUGUAGCGGUGAAAUGCGUAGAUAUUAGGAGGAACACCAGUGGCGAAGGCGGCUUACUGGACUGUAACUGACGUUGAGGCUCGAAAGCGUGGGGAGCAAACAGGAUUAGAUACCCUGGUAGCG